RNAcentral lists this long non-coding RNA (7160 nucleotides) under Homo sapiens (human). Its description in RNAcentral is "HSALNT0023664". Lineage: Eukaryota; Metazoa; Chordata; Mammalia; Primates; Hominidae. The record is from RNAcentral.
CCUAUGUCCAAGAAAAUUAAGGAAUGCAGACACAAGGGUCGGGGUGGAGUCAAAGUUUAAUAAGCAAAAAAGAAAGCUUUCUGCAGCAGAGAGGGGAGUCCAAGUGGAUUGCCGGGUUACAGCUGAAUUUAAAAGCGUUUUAUAAGAAACUGCUCUCUUCCCUGUAACUGUUGGAAUAACUUUUCUUACCAGUAAAGCUGUCUGUGCAAUUCUUCUUCUCUUAUGCAGCUGUGGGUAUGUCUCUAGGCAAGCACAAAGCCCCACUUCUCUUGUUUGUAUAACUGUGGGUUUGUUUUAGGGGUGGGGCCGCUUUAUAGGGUUUGGGAAGAUAAUGGAAAAUUACAGUCAAAGGGGGUUGUUCUCUGGUGGGCAGGGGCGGGGGUCACAAGGUGCUCAGUGGGGGAGCUUCUGAGCCAGGAGAAGGAAAUUCACAGGGUUAAUCACUCAGUUAAGGUGGGGCAGGAACAAAUCACAAUGGUGGAAUAUCAUCAGUUAAGGCGUGGCAGGGCCUUUUCACUUCUUUUGUGAUUCUUCAGUUACUUCAGGCCAUCUGGGCGUAUACAUGCAAGUCACAGGGGAUGCGAUGGCUUGGCUUGGGCUCAGAGACCUGACAUUCCUGCCUUCUGAUAUUAAUAAGAAAAAUAAAACAAAAUAGUGUUGAAGUGUUGGGGUGGCAAAAAUUUUUGGGGGGUGGUAUGGAGAGAGAAUGGGCGAUGUUUCUCAGGGCUGCUUCAAGCGGGAUUAGGGGCAGCGUGGGAACCUAGAGUGGGAGAGAUUAAGCUGAAGGGAGGUCUUGUGGUAAGGGGUGAUAUUGUGGGGAUGUUAGAAGAGACAUUUCUUGUAUAGAAUGAUUGGUGAUGGCCUGGAUACGGUUUUGGAUGAAUUGAGAAACUAAAUGGAAGAUACAAGGUCCGAAUAAAAGAAGGAGAAAAAUGGGUAUUAAAGGACUAAGAAUUGGGAGGCCCUAGGACAUCCAAUUAGAGAGUGCCUAAGGGGUUCAGCAUAAUUACUUGCUUGGUUGGCAAGUUUUUGGGCUCUAUCCUUGAGUUUUUUUAUGUUGUCAUACACCAGGCCAGAUUGAUUUAGGUAAAAACAACACUCUUCAUUUAAGAAUAUGCAGAGUCCUCCUUUUUCAGCAGUGAGUAAGUCAAGGCCUCGGCGGUUUUGGAGGACAACUGCAGCUAAAGAGUCAACUUGGAGUACUGAUAAAGUUUGUGACAUGUCUGUGAUGCUAGCAGAGAAGUCAUUAGAGAGGCUACGGAAGGUCGAGACAGAAGUUGAAAUGCCUGCUAUUCCAGUACUGAGAGCAAUAGUGGAGGCAGAAAGUCCUAAACCGACCAUCAAGGGAAUUAGUGGAAUAACUCUUCUUUGUCAUGUCGGUGUCAUGAGGGGAACAGGGAGCUCUUCGGUCCUAUUUGCAAAUUGAAUUUUGGGGGAAAGGAAGACUAGUGUGCAUGUGCCUGUCCAAUUAGCAGGUAGACACAUGUAGGUAGAGGAACCACAGAGGAAGAAGAGACCUUGUGCAAGGCAAAACUGGAGAUGUAAAGUAAAAAGAUGAGAAGGAGUGCUGAAAGGGGUGUCUUGUACCUAGAGUCCUAGGGAUCCAGCUAGGGCGGCAGCUGUCAGAGGUUGUAAUGGGGACUGAUGGGGUAACUGCGUAGAGGGGGAGGUUCAAUUUUCAUGGUGUAUGAGAAAACAUUGAGUAUCUAUGAGCAACCUUUCACUGUUAUUUUCGGGGCUGGAUAUAAGUAAACAAGAAUAGGGCCUGGGAGGAGAGUCUGAUGAGCAAGGGGAAGGUAGCCAAGGAUGGAGUUCAAUACAGGGUAAGUGUCUUCCUAAGCAAUAAUUACUGCUAACAUUUUUAAGUUUAUCAGUAUUGAUAGAGGGCUUGUCUGUAAUAUGGAGCUGGAAGGCUCCAAUUGUUUCAGUGAUGUGUGUAAUUGGGCUUCGGAGAUGAAGAGUAAAGGAACAUCGAGAGGGUGAAAGAUUACCUAGGGGAAUUCCAGUGGGUCUUUGCUGAGAGAUACAUAAAGGAGCGGCCACAGGAAUAGUAGUUUGUGUUGUGAGAGGUCCGAAUAUGGGGGGAGUAGAGUUAAUAUAAGGAGAAAGGUUUUUUAAAUAAGUGCGAAGGAGGGCGGCAGCUUGCUGAUGUGAAAUGUCUGGGGAAGUCUUGCUGGACCUGUCUAGAGAGUAAAUGAGUUCUUCAGGAGGGUAAAGAUGAGGGCUGCUAAAGGAAGUUCAGAGGUGUAGGGAGACGGGAGAUAUUGCCCAGUCUGUCUGUAAGGCGGGGACAGCUGUGUAGGCACUGGAAGAAAGGGAAAUGCAAAGCCAGCAGUUGUUCACUAAGGAGGGACUAGAAGUGGCUAGGAGAGAAUGGGUAAGGUUGAUAGUGUGGUGGAGAUAGCUGGGGAGAGGUAGAGGGUGGCAUAAGAAUGGGAACGAGAAUAAGAGUGAGUAUAAAAGUAAAGAAUAGAACUUCAUCAGGGUGGAAGUAUUGGAGGGUGCCUUGCCAGCAAAGAUCAUCUACCCACUCUAAGAGGGAGUUAAGAGUGGCAGUUUGGGGUUAGCACCAAGAGAUAUCAGCUGUGAUGGCUUGAAGAAACAGUGUAAACCGGCGGUGUAAAGAAGAGUAGGGCAUUUAUAAGUAGUUGAGAAUGGAGAAUAGGAGUAUGACCAGACAGAAGAUAGUAGGGAUGACUAGUUUUUUUGGGCUCGGCCUAAGUGGUUGGGGUGACUUCGUAAAGCCCUGUUGCAAAAAGUAGGGUAAGGACGAACAGACCUAAUAGAAUGAAGGGAUGUAUUAGGCUCAUAAGGGUUAUUACUGCUCUUCAGAAAUAUGAGUGAGUUUAAGGGAAGUAGGGGAGAGUACUUGCGGCUUCCAGGAGGAAGAGGAGGGAUUAGGCUGGCUGUCCGAUGGACACAGCUUUAUUCUGGAAUGGUGAACCUAGUGGGGAGGAUCCUGCAGGCAGACGGCAGUCGGGGUACUAUAGAAGACGAGGUAGCAUCCGGUCCAUCGAGGUUGUAGAGUUUGAGGGGUCAGAUUCUUAACAAGAACUGAUCAUCCAGCUAGGAUGUCUCCAUAUGGCUGGGGAUCUGGAGUAGGCAAGAGAAGAUUAGCAGCCUGGUGAAUUUCCUGUCUAGCCUGCUGGAGGACUGGAAGAUAGUCACCUAGAGGGCUGGUGUCUGGGAUGAGGUUGGGGCCAAGCAAGAAAGUGUGUCCAUAUAAAAGUUCAAAUGGACCGUACCCUGUAGCAUCUCAAGGACAGGCUCUAAUUCUGAGAAGAGCAAGAGGUAAAAGUACUGUCCAAUCCUUUUUAAGUUGGAGGCUGAGCUUGGUGAGGUUUACCUUUAAAAGACCAUUAGUCCAUUCUACCUUUCCUGAAGAUUGAGGAUGGUAAGGGAUAUGAAGGUUCCACUGAAUACCAAGAGCCUGAGAAACUGCUUGGGUGAUUUGACUAGUAAAGGCUGGUCUGUCAUCAGACUGUAUAGAGGUGGGAAGCCUAAACUGAGGAAUUAUGUCUGACAGAGGGGAAGAAAUGACUGUGGUGGCCUUCUCAGACCCUGUAGGAAAGGCCUCUACUUAUCUAGUGAAAGUGUCUACUUAGACUAAGAGGUAUUUUAGUUAUCUGACUUGGGGCAUGUUGAGUGAAGCUAAUUUGCCAGUCCUGGGUGGGGGCAAAACCUUGAGCUUGAUGUGUAGGGAAGGGAGGGGGCCUGAAUAAUCCUUGAGGAGUAGUAGAAUAGCAGAUAGAAUAGCAGAUGGAACACUUGAGAAGUUAUUUCCUUGAGGAUAGAUUUCUACAAUGGAAAGGAAAUGAAAGGUUCAAAGAGGCGGGCUAGUGGCUUGUACUAUAGCAUAGCCUGCCUUUGCUGAUGUGUGGUGAUUAGGCCUGGUGGAACUGCCAUCAAUAAAUCAAGCGUGAUCAGGGUGAGAAACAGGGAAGAAGGAAAUGUGGGGAAAUAGGAUGAACAUCAGGUGGAUCAGAGAGAUGCAAUCAUGAGGGUCAGGUGUGGUAUCAGGAAUACUGUGGGAGGCUGGAUUGAAGUCCAGGCCAGGAACAAUGGUAAUUGUGGGACUUAACAAAGAGUGAGUACAGCUGAAGGAGCUGGGGAACAGAAAGUAUAUGCGUCAGGUAUGAGGAAGAAAAUAGAUUUUGGAAGUUAUGAGAAAUGUAGAGAGUGAGUUGAGCAUUGUUUGUGAUUUUUAGGGCCUCUAAAAUUAUUAAAGCAGCAGCAGCUGCUGCACACAGACAUGAGGGCUAGGCUAAAACAGUAAGGUCAAGUUGUUUCGACAGAAAGGCUACAGGGUGCGGUCCUGGCUCUUGUGUAAGAAUUCUGACGGCACUAACCAUGCCUAGGAAGGAAAGGAGUUGUUGUUUUGUAAGGGAUUGAGGUUUGGGAGAUUAAUUGGACAUGAUCAGCAGGGAGAGCAUGUGUGUUUUUAUGAGAAUUAUGCAGAGAUAGGUAACAGAUGGAGAAGAAAUUUGAGCUUUGGAGGGGGAUACCUGAUAUCCUUUGGAGAAUAAAUGCUGAAGAAGCAGAAGUGUGUCUUGUUGAGAAGAUUCAAAGGAGGGGCUACAAAGAAGAAGGUCAUCAAUAUAUUGAAUAAGGUGAGAAGCAGAGGGGUGGAAAGAAAGUAGAUCAUGAGAAAGAGCUUGGCUGAAGUAAAUGAGGGCUGUCCCUGAAACCUUGCGGCAGCACAGCCCAGGUAAGCUGCUGGGACUGUUGGGUGUCAGGGUCAGUCCAGGUGACAGCAAAGAGAGGCUGGGAUGAGGGGUGCAGGGGAAUAGUGAAAAAAGCAUCUUUAAGAUGAAGCACAGAAUAGUGAGUUGUGGAGGAAGGUAUUGAGGACAAAAGAGUGUACAGGUUGGGCACCACAGGGUGGAUAGGCAAAACAAUUUGGUUGGUAAGGCGCAGAUCCUGAACUAAUCUGUAAGACUUGUCGGGUUUUUGGACAGGUAAAAUGGGGGAAUUGUAAGGAGAGUUUAUAGGUUUUAGAAGCCUAUGCUGUAGCAGGUCAGUGAUAACAGGCUUUAAUCCUUUUAAAGCGUGCGGUGGGAUGGGAUAUUGGCGUUGAGUGGGGUAAGGGUGAUUAGGUUUAGUGGGAUGGUAAUGGGCAUGUGAUCGGUUGCCAGGGAAGGAGUAGAGAUGUCCUAUACUUGUGGUUAAGGUGGGGGGAUAUGAGAGGAAGACGCAAAGGAGGCUUUGGGUUGGGGAGAAGGGUGGCAAUGAGAUGCAGCUGUAGUCCAGGAAUAGUCAGGGAAGCAGAUAAUUUAGUAAGUGUCUCGGCCUAAUAAGGGAACUGGGCAGGUGGGGAUAACUAAAAAGGAGUGCUUAAAAGAGCAUUGUCUAAGUUGGCACCAGAGUUGGGGAGUUUUCAGAGGUUUAGAAGCCUGGCUGUCAAUACCCACAACAGUUAUGGAGGCAAGGGAAACAGGCCCUUGAAAAGAAGGCAACGUGGAGUGGGUAGUCCCCGUUUCGAUUAAACAGGGGAUGGAUUUACCCUCCACUGUGAGAGUUACCCAAAGCUUGGCGUCCGUGAUGGUCCAGGGGGUUUCCAAGGCGAUGAGGCAGCGUCACUCUUCAGUCGCUAAGCCGAGAAGGAGUCAGUCAGAGAGCCUUGGGCCAGAGUUCUCAGGGCUCUGGGAGUGGCUGCCAGAGCAGGUAUUCACAGAUGUUUGUUAUGAGGAUGGUUGCAGCUCUGUUCCUGGAGGAACAUGGGGAAAUAUCGGAAACUUCCCUGGGCCCAAGCAGAGGAACAGAGGACCCUGAGUGAACAACAGAGAAGAAAUGUGUUUCCUUCCUGUAUCUUCUGUGUAGCGAAGGGCAUCACCACUCAUCAGUUGACAAAGCCAGACAGAAGUGAAAGUACUUGUUGAAUGAGUUCUUGAUUCUUCUUUUACACACCUACUGAAUCACUGAGAGUGUCUCUCUCUGUCUGUUAUUUAGGUUUUGACAUAAUUUGGUGUCAGAAGUAGAAUUGAAGCUGGUUAGUUGGACAGAUGGACAACCCCUGAAAUUGAGUGAAUUGCCUGUGCUGAGCCCUUUUGAGCUCUCCACCUCCGUGGCUGACCUUUUCUACCCUGCUGAAUCUCCUCUCAGAUUCCUGGACUCCUUUUUGGAUCCUAUCACCCCUAUUGCAAUCAUCAUCCCUGGCUGACAGAGGACAUCCUCAACUGAGCUUCUCGGCAAGGCUGGGAUCUUCACCAGCACGUUCCUUAUGACUUUGUUGUAAGAGAUCAAGUUUUCCUUAAAAGCUGCAGAGAAACCUUUGACUUUCAGUAUUGCCUUGAAUUGGUGGUUAAUUGCUCUGACUGUCCUUAUCUCUCAUCAAUAAAUCAAGAGCACUCAGCAUCAACCACCCACUUCCAUAGUCCUCGUUGCUAUGAUUGUCUUCAUUCUCUCAAGCCUCAGAGAUAUUGCAUCAGUCCAUGCUAUCCUUUCUACUGGAAAGCCAACCCAGUUCAUCACUGGUGGAACGUUAUGGCAUCUGCACCCCUACAGCAUCACCUCCUACCACUGGUGAUGGGAUCCUUACACCAACUGGCCAGCAAGUGAUCCUGCUCCAACAUCCCCUUCAAAUGACUCUAAAUUAGAGGCUACUGCCUAGGGCCACUUCUGGUACUAGUAAAUGGCCCUAGAUUGGGUUCUCUGGAAAAAGACUCAGAGCCAGACUUUAUGCUGAAGACUUUCUGCAGGUACGCUCAGGAGAUAUACCUAGGGGAGUGAAGACGGCAGGACUGGGCAGAGGGAGAAGCCACCCUUCCCUGCAGUUGCAACUAAGGCCUCAGACAACAGAAGAAGCAGCAGGAAAAUAACAGCAGACUUUCAGCCUCAGUGCCAGAAUGAUAACAGCGAGAGCUGGGGACUGAGGCAAACUGGUAGUGACUUGCUUUGUUGUGCCCUGUGGAACAUGGACUUCUUGCUGCUACAUUCUAUAGUUUUCUAAUGAUGUAAAAAAAUCUGAAUUUUUAAUGUGAAAUCUCCUGUUCUUUGUGGCUUAGUUUUUACUUUUAUUUUUUAAAAAACGUGGUUCCAUCCUAAGAAAACAUACUGGCUGUCUGUUGUUUUCUAUCUGCAGCCCUUUUGCAACUUGUCAAUCAAACAGUAAACCCCUGGGUGCGACUGUCAGGGAGCAUGCUCACAAGACUUCUCAGAGU